AAUGUCACUGUAGUCUGGGACCUUCCCGACGUCCCCACAAUACAUCUUGUAUGGUUUUGUUUCAGUGAAACUUUAUGUUAAGUAUCUGAUAAAGGAGAACGUACAGGUGUGCGAAAUGUCCCCACUCAACACAGUUAAUUCAACACGUGUGAAAUGUCCCCACUAGGCAUAGUCUAUGUGACAGCAGACAGGUUGACAAAGCAGGACAAAAUAUGACCGUAGAAUCCUUUCUCGCUAGUUUGGUGUGUGGGGGAUGUAUUUGACCCAAGAGACAUGUCCUUUAGAAAAUGUAUCAAAAUAAUAUAAUAUUAUGCAGUGUUUACAUGAAAUUGACUGAUUUACUUUUUGUAUCAAAUUGCAGAUGACUACAUGUGCACCUGACACGCCCUGUGUGAGCUCCCAGCCUGUGCUCAUGUCAGAGCCACAGUGGGAUGAAGCUGCCUGGUUAGAGGACACUGGUCAACAGAAGAGGAAACUGUUGGAGGCACGGAGGGGAAUAAAAUCCCAGCAAAACAGAGACGCAAACUGCCACCAGCAGAAGAUGGAGCAUCUUCUACAGUCUGUGCUGUGAGCCAUGUUCUUCCAAAGGUGAAUUUUUAGACUUUUUUAUUUAUAUAUUGGAGUAACGUAAUUUAUCGGACAACGUAAUGUUGUAGAGUACAAAUUUGAGAUUAUAUAUGUAAAAAUGAAAACAUUUUUAUGAGGGAGUGUCAAUCUUCUCAGCUCUCUAGUCUGGUUGUACGUCAGCAGAUACUUCUAUAGGAUUUGCCAGGUGGCAUUAGGGUGAACAGACUGUGACUGGGGUAGAUAGUAUCUUUGGGCGUUGUGCAGAC
RNAcentral lists this long non-coding RNA (833 nucleotides) under Gadus morhua (Atlantic cod). Its description in RNAcentral is "lncRNA (ENSGMOG00000022511.1)". Lineage: Eukaryota; Metazoa; Chordata; Actinopteri; Gadiformes; Gadidae. The record is from RNAcentral.